GAUGAACGCUGGCGGCGUGCCUAACACAUGCAAGUCGAGCGAGAAGAUUAUGAGUGAACCUUCGGGUGAGUGAUUAAUUGGAAAGCGGCGGACGGGUGAGUAACGCGUGGGUAACCUGCCCUGUACAGAGGAAUAGCCAUUGGAAACGAUGAUUAAUGCCUCAUAAGACCACAGCACCUCCUGGUGCAGUGGUAAAAACUCCGGUGGUACAGGAUGGACCCGCGUUAGAUUAGCUAGUUGGUGAGGUAAUGGCUCACCAAGGCUACGAUCUAUAGCCGACCUGAGAGGGUGAUCGGCCACACUGGAACUGAGACACGGUCCAGACUCCUACGGGAGGCAGCAGUGGGGAAUAUUGCACAAUGGGCGAAAGCCUGAUGCAGCAACGCCGCGUGAGUGAUGAAGGCCUUCGGGUCGUAAAACUCUUUUCUUGGGGAAGAAUACAUGACG
RNAcentral lists this ribosomal RNA (447 nucleotides) under uncultured Eubacteriales bacterium. Its description in RNAcentral is "bacterial SSU rRNA". It matches the Rfam family "Bacterial small subunit ribosomal RNA", at positions 28 to 458 of the family's 1533-position model. The record is from RNAcentral. Lineage: Bacteria; Bacillati; Bacillota; Clostridia; Eubacteriales.